Molecule: ribosomal RNA, 457 nt
Filed under: uncultured bacterium
Lineage: Bacteria
Description: partial 16S ribosomal RNA
Rfam family: Bacterial small subunit ribosomal RNA
Source: RNAcentral
CCUACGGGAGGCAGCAGUGGGGAAUAUUGCACAAUGGGGGAAACCAUGAUGCAGCGACGCCGCGUGAGUGAAGAAGUAUUUCGGUACGUAAAGCUCUAUCAGCAGGGAAGAAAAAAAGUCCUUUGGACUUUGGACGGUACCUGACCAAGAAGCCCCGGCUAACUACGUGCCAGCAGCCGCGGUAAUACGUAGGGGGCAAGCGUUAUCCGGAUUUACUGGGUGUAAAGGGAGCGUAGACGGCAGCGCAAGUCUGGAGUGAAAUGCCGGGGACCAACCCCGGAACUGCGUUGGAAACUGGGCAGCUGGAGUGCAGGAGAGGUAAGCGGAAUGCCUAGUGUAGCGGUGAAAUGCGUAGAUAUUAGGAGGAACACCAGUGGCGAAGGCGGCUUAAUGGACUGUAACUGACGUUGAGGCUCGAAAGCGUGGGGAGCAAACAGGAUUAGAUACCCCGGUAGUC